This is a non-coding RNA of Malus domestica (apple), 4825 nucleotides long. Lineage: Eukaryota; Viridiplantae; Streptophyta; Magnoliopsida; Rosales; Rosaceae. The record is from RefSeq and is a predicted model, not a curated record.
UUGAACAUUCUGGAUACAAGUCUUCAUUUUAGAUAUUAAAGAUGAAAAAGAAGUCUUUUCGAGGGUGUGUUAUAGCCUAUAAGUGGCUGUUAUCUCCAUAGCUGUACAUUAUCUAUUUUCUCAUUGUAAAAUUAUCUGGAUACUGCCGUUGAACUAGAAAAUUAAAAUCUUGCCUGUGAUGCAUAAUGCAAGUUCUGCAAUCUUUCUGGUUACAUUUUUAUUUUUUUGAUCUUUUCAGUUUCUUUUUCUCUGGGCAUGGUCCCAUUGUUUGCUUUGAAAUUCAUUGCCUAACCUCUCUAAUGCUAUAAACUUUCCAGGAUCAUAAUUACAUAUUUUAUGCUUAUAAAAUGGUUUUAGGGGUUUGCAGUUUCUAUCGGUUUGCAAUUGUCCUACAAACUUUUAUGGGGGUAUAUGUCUGACGCUUAGUUUGGAGGCAUUGUUUCAAAUAGCGUAAAGAAAGAAAAGCUUAGGCAUUCCUCACAGAGACAACCCGAAAGUGUCUUUAGGCAUGCAAGUGUUCUGUGAAAUUUCAAAAAAGUGUGGUGUAAACCUUUUCUUUGAGUUGGUAUGCUUUAGCAAGCUCACACUUUAUUUAAGAAAAGGGAAUUCUUUUGGUAUGGGCUUUAUGUUAUUUUAUUUUUUGACACCCUAGUAAAUAGAACCCCAAGUCUCUAUCAUUCAAACCCUGCACAGCGUUACCACAACCAAUUGACUCCUUCAGAAGCAUGCAACGAAAAACUUGAAUGGUUACUAUAUGGCAGCAUCUCCAUCAUCAGUUGGGAGUUGAACAGUUGGUAACUUCCAAUUUUUGUUCUUUUAAUGGCUUUUAUUCUUGCAAAGAGGGUUUUAUAGAGUUCACGAUAUUUUAAUUAGGCUCUUAAUUGAGAAAAUUAGUAAACAUUGAGGUGUUUGGCAGAUAGAAAUCUCUGGUUUUAUCUCCUUUAUUCCCUCAGAAAGGCUACUAACGACCUGAAAAAUAAAUAUUUACGGUGUCUCAUGGACCAGUUUAUUGGGUUUCUUUAAUGAUUUUGGCUUUGCCAAAUUUGGGACCAAAUUGGGUUGUUUUUGACAUGUUGAAAUAUAGGGAAAUUUUGUGGUUAUAAUGUUUUAGGCUUGACCAGCGCACUCUAAGCUUUAAUAACUCUUCUUAAUGACCAUUAUAACCUUUGAAAAAUGACUUAAAACAACUUAAUUCACAUCUAAAAUGUUUUCCAAUUACUCCACCAUAGCUCACUCAGGCUUAUACCCACCCUACCAUCCAAUACUAACCAUAACCCCAUCACAAUCUUCAAAAUCAGCCCUUCAUCACUCCAUAAACCCCAGUCACAUAAUACCACCCAUAUUGAGUUUCUUGGUCAAUGGAGCAUCAAAUCAUCAUGUAUGACAAGUCAGUGAGAAUGGAAAGGUAUGUUAUUUGCCAAAUUAGUUGAGCUUGUUUUGUUCUGGUGGUUACUAAAACUGGGCUCACGUUUUGUUUGGUUACUCAGAGCUGAGCACCAAAUGUACUGUGCAGUUAUAUGUGGCCGAACAACCAUUCAUUAAGUGUAGCCAGAUAUUGCUGCAGAGGACAUUUGGCGUGUGACCAGAAAUGGCUGCACACCAACAAGAAAGUGGAGCCAGGCGAAACUUCUUCUCGAGGUAGUGGGGUUGGCUCAGAAUGUGCAACGGGCUACACAAGUGAAUUUAGGAGUAAUGAGGACAACAAUUCUGCUCGAGAUAGUGGGGUUAUCUCAGACUGUGUAAUGGAUUUCACAAGUGAAUUUACUACUUAUGCGAUAUUUAAGACUAGAGAGUCCUUGAUGCAGUGGGCUCGUCGGACGGGCAAGCGAAAUGGAUUUGUUAUUGUGACAUUACGAUCUGAUAUGGAUUGUAAGAGUACAAAACCAAGAGUUACAUUAGGUUGUGAGAGGGGUGGAAGAUUUAAGGAGAAGAAAACUAGGGCUGCCAAAAAAAGACGUGGGACAGGCACAAAGAAGUGUGGGUGUCCUUUCACAUUGAAAGGGGAGAAGUCAGCGAAUGGGGACGGAUGGAUGCUAAAGGUUGUAUGUGGAGUGCAUAACCAUGCAUCCACUGAGUAUCCUGAUGGGCGUUCAUAUGCAGGGAGGUUAUCGGAGCAGGAGGCUUCACUCUUGAUAGACUUGUCAAAGAAUUUAGUACGACCCAAAGAAAUCCUGAGCACAUUGAAGCAAAGGGAUGAACUCAAUGCUACAACCAUAAGGACGAUCUAUAAUGCACGCCAAAGGCAAAGAGUUAAAGAGAAGGCGGGAAGGUCUCAAAUGCAACAACUGUUAUGUAAGUUGAAUGAGCAUGACUAUGUCGAGUGGCAUAGGAGGUGCCCUAUGUCAGAUAGUGUGCAGGACUUGUUUUGGGCGCAUCCUGUGAGUUUGGAGUUGUUACGUGCAUUUCCAACCAUUUUGAUGAUAGAUUGCACGUACAAGACCAAUAGGUAUUAUUAUCCCCUACUAGAGGUUGUAGGCGUCGCAUCCACUGAUAUUACAUUCUCAAUUGCAUUUGUCUUUUUGAAUUCUGAAAAAGAAGACAACUACAUAUGGGCAUUAAGUAAAUUGCGUGGUGUCAUGGUGGAGUGUCCCAUGCCAAAUGUAAUUGUCACAGACAUGGAUUUGCAAUUGAUGAGAGCCAUUGAGGUAGUAUUCCCUACCGCUAAAAAUCUUUUAUGUAAAUGGCAUAUUAAUAAGCAUGUGUUGGCCAAAUGCAAAAACUUGUUUGAGUCCAAGGAAAGGUGUGAUAGAUUUAUUAUGAAGUGGAAUGUACUGGUGACCUCUCCUACAGAAAAUGAUUACAUACGGGAGCUGGCAGUGUUACAGAGAGAAUUUAGUAUGUACACUGAGGUCAUGGAAUAUGUUACAAACACAUGGUUGAAUCCUUUCAAGGACAGAUUUGUGUCGGCUUGGACGGACAUGAUCAUGCAUUUUGGUAAUGUAACAUCAAACAGGGCCAAGGGUGCACAUACCAAGCUUAAGAGGGAACUUGGUAUGAGCCUGGGAAAUUUUGAGGGUUCUUUUGAGAGUAUACACUCUCUUAUUGAGUUACAGCACACUGACAUAAAGAUAUCUUUUGACAAGUGUUUGAUGGUCACACAACAAAGCUUCAAGUCUUCAGAAUUCAAAUAUCUGAGAGGAGUUGUAUCUAUGUUUGCAUUGGAGAAGGUGUUAUCUCAGUCCAAACUAGCCACCUCAAUUGGUGUUGAUGGUUCAGGAUGUGGUUGUGUCAUACCCCGAACCCAUGGUCUACCUUGUGCCCAUCAGAUUGUGAAAUACAAGAGGGAGUGUCAGCCAAUUCCUCUUGAGUCUCUUGACCCCCAUUGGACGAAACUUGAUAUACUACCUCCUAGUUCUGCUCAGGAUUCUAUGGAUGUGAAUGAGUUUCCUGAGUUGGAGUUGCUUCAACAAUACUUUCUGGAGGCAAAUGCAGAAAAUAGGUUGAUGCUCAGGAAAAGAGUGAGAGAACUUGUAGCACCCUAUACAACUAAUCUUGUUGAACCAGGAGUUAAGUCCAGAUUACGAGGUCAACUGAGGGAGAAAAUUGAUAUGUCCACUCAACAAGAUCCAUAUGCAUUUGAUUUGAGAUCUGCAUCUGUGGAUAGUCACUCACCUAGCCCAAUGGAUGGUCAGCAAAAUUUUACACACAAGCAAAUGGAGCAAACCAAGAAGAAGGUGUACCGGACGCUGUCAAUGAAAGGUAUUUCGUAUAUUGAUGCAUUCCCAAUUGGAUUGAGGCCCUUCAUUCAGCAAGUCAAGGAUGUAUGUCAGGAUGGUCACUGCGGGUUUAGGGCAGUUGCUGAUUUAGUGGGAAUGGGUGAGAAUGGAUACUUGCAAGUGCGUAAUGACUUGCUUACUGAGUUGUCUUCAUUUUCUGCACAUUAUGGCGAGUUGUAUGGCAGCACAGACAGGGUUCGUGAGUUAGCACAGAUACUAUCAUUCUUUGAUGAAGGUAGAGCACCAUUUGAUAGAUGGAUGAUGAUGCCUGACAUGGGUCAUCUUAUAGCGUCAUGCUAUAAGGUCGUGCUUUUCCACUUAUCAUCUACUCAGUGCCUAACCUUCUUACCACUUCGGUCGGCACCAGUUCCUUUGCCAAGGCGUCGACAGAUUGCUAUUGGUUUUAUGAAUGAUUGUCAUUGCGUGGAGGUGUUCUUAAGGCCAGGGCAUCCUGUGCCUCCCAUUACGUCUGAUUGGAUCAGAUAUCAUACACCAGCUGCACAAGGAUGGGACACUGUGUAUACUAGUUGUAUUUUACGCUUCAAAUCUCUUGUCAGCUCUGAUCAAAUCUGACUCGGUCAGGUGCAAGUCACAAAUCCAAACUGUCUGAAAAAUAUGCUUAGAAUGGUCAGGUUUGAUCACGUAUAUGCACAAAUGUGCUCUGAAAGGAGAUACCGUCUAUAUGCACAAAUGUGCCCUGAAGGAGAGGCCAUGAAGUGGAUCUUGUUAGGAAAGCUGCAAAUCCCACCAUGAGGAUCCAAACCCUACACAAAUAAUGGAAACAGAUAUUUCCAGUGAUAUAGACUUAGUGGAGGAUACUUACCUAUGGGAAGACGAUGAUGACAGAUAUUCCGUUGAGAAAAUUCCGCUGUACGAUUCUGCAGAGGAUGAGCCUUCGUCUAGGCUUUUCAGGGCUGUGAACUCCUCAAGCUCUGAGUUUGAUGUUGAUGGGAUGAUGGAGAAUGUCAAUGUGGAUUCUGAACAUCAGUUGAUGUCUACUGCUCUUGUUGUGCAAUCACUUGAUUCUGUUCCAAUGGAAGGUGUAGUUAUGGAGGUAAAAACAGAAGUGAACAUGGAGAGGAAACUUUAUUCAGAAGACAAUCAACUGG